UGCCUGGCAGUCAGACUACGUGAGAUAAGUCUCGUGGUCAAAAGGGAAACAGCCCAGACCCACAGCUAAGGUCCCAAAUAAAUGCUAAGUGGAAAAUGAUGUGAAACUGCGAAAACAACCAGGAUGUUGGCUUAGAAGCAGCCACUCAUUCAAAGAGUGCGUAAUAGCUCACUGGUCGAGUGGUUUUGCGCAGAAAAUGUAACGGGGCUAAGCAUUUAACCGAAGCUUGGGCAGAUGAAUAAUCUGGGUAGGGGAGCGUCCAAUAUGGGGCGAAGUCAGAGCGGAAGCACUGGUGGACUGUAUUGGAGUGAGAAUGCCGGAAUAAGUAGCGAGAAUUAUGUGAGAAUCAUAAUGGCCGAAAAUCUAAGGUUUCUUGGGGAAGGUUCGUCCGCCCAAGGUUAGUCGGGAGCUAAGGCGAGGCCGAACGGCGUAGUCGAUGCACACACGGUAGAAAUUCCGUGACCACCAAAAGAGUUAAACCAGAGGACGCUUUCUUUAAGUCUAUCCCGGGCGAUGGUUGCCCCGGGCGUAAGGGACCGAAAUAUAGUAGGGAAGU
This 556-nucleotide ribosomal RNA is filed under the name Butyricicoccus sp. 1XD8-22. Its description in RNAcentral is "bacterial LSU rRNA". It matches the Rfam family "Bacterial large subunit ribosomal RNA", at positions 974 to 1541 of the family's 2925-position model. The record is from RNAcentral. Lineage: Bacteria; Bacillati; Bacillota; Clostridia; Eubacteriales; Butyricicoccaceae.